ACUCUAAGAUAUAGGACGUCCACUUAACUUGGCAGUCCGAACUCUCACUUUCUAACCCUGUGCACUUGUUUGGGAUAGUAACUCUCGCAAGAGAGCGAACUCCUAUUCACUUAUAAACACAAAGUCUAUGAAUGUAUUAAAUUUUAUAACAAAAUAAAACUUUCAACAACGGAUCUCUUGGCUCUCGCAUCGAUGAAGAACGCAGCGAAAUGCCAUAAGUAAUGUGAAUUGCAGAAUUCAGUGAAUCAUCGAAUCUUUGAACGCACCUUGCGCUCCAUGGUAUUCCGUGGAGCAUGCCUGUUUGAGUGUCAUGAAUACUUCAACCCUCCUCUUUCUUAAUGAUUGAAGAGGUGUUUGGUUUCUGAGCGCUGCUGGCCUUUACGGUCUAGCUCGUUCGUAAUGCAUUAGCAUCCGCAAUCGAACUUCGGAUUGACUUGGCGUAAUAGACUAUUCGCUGAAGAAUUCUAGUCUUCGGACUAGAGCCGGGUUGGGUUAAAGGAAGCUUCUAAUCAGAAUGUCUACAUUUUAAGAUUAGAUCUCANAUCAGGUAGGACUACCCGCUG
RNAcentral lists this ribosomal RNA (563 nucleotides) under Antarctic fungal sp. GI959. RNAcentral's name for it is "eukaryotic LSU rRNA". The stretch from base 158 to 311 matches the Rfam family "5.8S ribosomal RNA". Lineage: Eukaryota; Fungi. The record is from RNAcentral.